GAUGAACGCUAGCUACAGGCUUAACACAUGCAAGUCGAGGGGAAACGACAUCGGAAGCUUGCUUUUGAUGGGCGUCGACCGGCGCACGGGUGAGUAACGCGUAUCCAACCUGCCCACCACUUGGGAAUAACCUUGCGAAAGUAAGACUAAUACCCAAUGACGUCUCUAGAAGACAUCUGAAAGAGAUUAAAGAUUUAUCGGUGAUGGAUGGGGAUGCGUCUGAUUAGCUUGUUGGCGGGGUAACGGCCCACCAAGGCGACGAUCAGUAGGGGUUCUGAGAGGAAGGUCCCCCCACAUUGGAACUGAGACACGGUCCAAACUCCUACGGGAGCAGCAGUGAGGAAUAUUGGUCAAUGGACGAGAGUCUGAACCAGCCAAGUAGCGUGCAGGAUGACGGCCCUAUGGGUUGUAAACUGACUUUUAUAAGGGAAUAAAGUGAGUCUCGUGAGACUUUUUGCAUGUACCUUAUGAAUAAGGACC
RNAcentral lists this ribosomal RNA (480 nucleotides) under uncultured bacterium. Its description in RNAcentral is "bacterial SSU rRNA". It matches the Rfam family "Bacterial small subunit ribosomal RNA", at positions 28 to 494 of the family's 1533-position model. The record is from RNAcentral.